This 497-nucleotide ribosomal RNA is filed under the name uncultured bacterium. Its description in RNAcentral is "partial 16S ribosomal RNA". It matches the Rfam family "Bacterial small subunit ribosomal RNA", at positions 28 to 507 of the family's 1533-position model. The record is from RNAcentral.
GACGAACGCUGGCGGCGUGCCUAAUACAUGCAAGUCGAGCGCAGAAGGUAGGUCCUUGUACCAACUGGGUGAGCAGCGGACGGGUGAGUAACGCGUGGGGAAUCUGCCUAUGAGCGGGGGACAACAUCGGGAAACGAAUGCUAAUACCGCAUAAAAACUUUAAACACAAGGUUCAAGAGUGAAAGAUGCAAUUGCAUCACUCAAAGAUGAUCCCGCGUUGUAUUAGCUAGUUGGGGAGGUCAAGGGCCACCCAGGCGAUGAUACAUAGCCGACCUGAGAGGGGGGUCGGCCCCAUUGGGACUGGGACACGGCCCCAACUCCUUCGGGAGGCCGCCGGAGGGAAUCUUCGGCAAUGGACGAAAGUCUGGCCGGGCCACGCCGCGUGAGUGAAGAAGGUUUUCGGAUCGUAAAACCCUGUUGGUAGAGAAGAACGUUGGUGAGAGUGGAAAGCUCACCACGUGACGGUACCUACCCAGAAAGGGACGGCUAACUACGUG